RNAcentral lists this ribosomal RNA (495 nucleotides) under uncultured bacterium. Its description in RNAcentral is "partial 16S ribosomal RNA". It matches the Rfam family "Bacterial small subunit ribosomal RNA", at positions 28 to 507 of the family's 1533-position model. The record is from RNAcentral.
GACGAACGCUGGCGGCGUGCCUAAUACAUGCAAGUAGAACGCUGAAGGAGGAGCUUGCUUCUCUGGAUGAGUUGCGAACGGGUGAGUAACGCGUAGGUAACCUGCCUGGUAGCGGGGGAUAACUAUUGGAAACGAUAGCUAAUACCGCAUAAUAGUAGAUGUUGCAUGACAUUUACUUAAAAGGUGCAAUUGCAUCACUACCAGAUGGACCUGCGUUGUAUUAGCUAGUUGGUGGGGUAACGGCUCACCAAGGCGACGAUACAUAGCCGACCUGAGAGGGGGAUCGGCCACACUGGGACUGAGACACGGCCCAGACUCCUACGGGAGGCAGCAGUAGGGAAUCUUCGGCAAUGGACGAAAGUCUGACCGAGCAACGCCGCGUGAGUGAAGAAGGUUUUCGGAUCGUAAAGCUCUGUUGUAAGAGAAGAACGAGUGUGAGAGUGGAAAGUUCACACUGUGACGGUAUCUUACCAGAAAGGGACGGCUAACUACGUG